UCGCCCUUUUCCGGUUGAUCCUGCCGGACCCGACUGCUAUCGGAUUGAGAUUUAGCCAUGCGAGUUGAACGUCCCUUGAUUGCAGGGGGCGUAGCAUACGGCUCAGUAACACGUAGUCAACCUGCCCUGGAGACGCGGAUAACCCCGGGAAACUGGGACCAAUCCGUGAUAGGUCGCCCCAUCUGGAAGGAGGGGCGGCCCAAAGGGGAAUUGUGGGCUUCCACUUUUCUCGCUCUAGGAUGGGACUGCGGCCGAUCAGGCUGUUGGCGGGGUAAUGGCCCACCAAACCUGUAACCGGUACGGGCCUUGAGAGAGGUGGCCCGGAGAUGGACACUGAGACAAGGGUCCAGGUCCUACGGGGCGCAGCAGGCGCGAAACCUUCGCAAUGUGCGAAAGCAUGACGAGGUUAAUCCGAGUGGCUUCCGCUGAGGAAGUCUUUUGCCGACUGUAAAAAGGUCGGAGAAUAAGGGGAGGGCAAGUCUGGUGUCAGCCGCCGCGGUAAUACCAGCUCCUCGAGUGGUCGGGGCGAUUAUUGGGCCUAAAGCAUCCGUAGCCGGUUCCGUAGGUCUCCUGCAAAGUCCAGUCGCUCAACGAUUGGCCCGCAGGAGAUACCGCGGGACUAGGAGGCGGGAGAGGUGGACGGUACUCCACGUGUAGGGGUAAAAUCCUUUGAUCCGUGGAAGACCACCAGUGGCGAAGGCGGUCCACCAGAACGCGCUCGACGGUGAGGGAUGAAAGCUGGGGGAGCGAACCGGAUUAGAUACCCGGGUAGUCCCAGCCGUAAACGAUGCUAGCUAGAUGAUCCGAUCGUAAAUCAUGAUCGGAGUGUCGCAGGGAAGCCGUUAAGCUAGCCGCCUGGGGAGUACGGUCGCAAGACUGAAACUUAAAGGAAUUGGCGGGGGAGCACCACAAGGGGUGAAGCCUGCGGUUCAAUUGGAGUCAACCCCAGGAAACUUACCAGGAGAGACAGCAGAUUGAGGGUCAGACUGAAGAUCUUACCUGACGAGCUGAGAGGAGGUGCAUGGCCGUCGCCAGCUCGUGCCGUGAGGCGUCCUGUUAAGUCAGGCAACGAGCGAGACCCAAAGGGCG
This 1089-nucleotide ribosomal RNA is filed under the name uncultured Nitrososphaerota archaeon. RNAcentral describes it as "bacterial SSU rRNA". It matches the Rfam family "Archaeal small subunit ribosomal RNA", at positions 1 to 1061 of the family's 1478-position model. The record is from RNAcentral. Lineage: Archaea; Thermoproteati; Nitrososphaerota.